CCCUUAGAUGUUCUGGGCCGCACGCGCGCUACACUGAUGCAUUCAACGAGCCUAUCCUUGACCGACAGGUCCGGGUAAUCUUUGAAUCUGCAUCGUGACGGGGAUAGAUUAUUGCAAUUAUUAAUCUUCAACGAGGAAUGCCUAGUAAACGCAAGUCAUCAGCUUGCAUUGAUUACGUCCCUGCCCUUUGUACACACCGCCCGUCGCUCCUACCGAUUGAAUGAUCCGAUGAAUAUCAUGGAUUGAGGAUGCAAGUAGGUUAGCCUAUCUUCAUCUUCGAGAAGUGAAGUAAAUCUUAUCAUUUAGAGGAAGGAGAAGUCGUAACA
This 326-nucleotide ribosomal RNA is filed under the name uncultured eukaryote. Its description in RNAcentral is "partial 18S ribosomal RNA". It matches the Rfam family "Eukaryotic small subunit ribosomal RNA", at positions 1470 to 1796 of the family's 1831-position model. The record is from RNAcentral.